This is a long non-coding RNA of Nematolebias whitei (Rio pearlfish), 522 nucleotides long. RefSeq lists it as uncharacterized. The transcript has 3 exons. The record is from RefSeq and is a predicted model, not a curated record. Lineage: Eukaryota; Metazoa; Chordata; Actinopteri; Cyprinodontiformes; Rivulidae.
ACUACUCCCAGUUGAAACUUCCAGCUGUACCUCCAGUCCUAAGCUGCACAGAUACCGAACAGAAGUGGCAUAAACCAAGGACAAUGGGCAUAAAACCUGGUCCAGUAAAUGACAUGGUCGUCCUGUCAGCAAGACCAAGAGAGAGGAAAAUCUUUGAAGGAAUUAGAAGCAACUUGUAUAAAGGUGCUACCAGCCCUCUUCCACUCAUCUCCACCCUAAGGAUACAGGAUGUGUACAAGGGACUUCCAGCUGAAGAAGCGCCAAUGAUAACCACAAUGGCUGUCUCCAACGAUGUCCCUCUUGUUGACUCUUUGUUUGGUCCGGUACAAGAGGGAAGCGUUCUGUCAUAUCAGCUGCCAGCAAGGAUAGUUCCCAGGACCCGUCCACACCAAGACGCCCCUUCUCCCCCACAGCUUCCACUCUUCAAUUACAGGCUUGAACCCUCCACCUGUGAGUAUGUUUGUUCAGAACAAGAGCACCACCAUAUGACGUCCCUUGAGACAACAUUAGAGAUGUCUCACA